CACGUAGGGCGCAAGCGUUGUCCGGAAUUACUGGGCGUAAAGGGCUCGUAGGCGGCCAACUAAGUCCGACGUGAAAUCCCCAGGCUUAACCUGGGAACUGCGUCGGAUACUGGAUGGCUUGAAUUCGGGAGAGGGAUGCAGAAUUCCAGGUGUAGCGGUGAAAUGCGUAGAUAUCUGGAGGAAUACCGGUGGCGAAGGCGGCAUCCUGGACCGACAUUGACGCUGAUGAGCGAAAGCUAGGGGAGCAAACGGG
This 253-nucleotide ribosomal RNA is filed under the name uncultured bacterium. RNAcentral's name for it is "partial 16S ribosomal RNA". It matches the Rfam family "Bacterial small subunit ribosomal RNA", at positions 524 to 776 of the family's 1533-position model. The record is from RNAcentral.